Molecule: ribosomal RNA, 272 nt
Filed under: Salmonella enterica subsp. enterica
Lineage: Bacteria; Pseudomonadati; Pseudomonadota; Gammaproteobacteria; Enterobacterales; Enterobacteriaceae
Description: partial 16S ribosomal RNA
Rfam family: Bacterial small subunit ribosomal RNA
Source: RNAcentral
GUCGGGCGGUAACAGGGGGAAGCUUGCUUCUCUGCUGACGAGCGGCGGACGGGUGAGUAAUGUAUGGGGAUCUGCCUGAUGGCGGGGGAUAACUACUGGAAACGGUAGCUAAUACCGCAUAAUGUCUUCGGACCAAAGCGGGGGACCUCCGGGCCUCGCGCCAUCAGAUGAACCCAUAUGGGAUUAGCUAGUAGGUGAGGUAACGGCUUACCUAGGCGACGAUCCCUAGCUGGUCUGAGAGGAUGAUCAGCCACACUGGGACUGAGACACGG